Molecule: long non-coding RNA, 1961 nt
Organism: Malaclemys terrapin pileata
Lineage: Eukaryota; Metazoa; Chordata; Testudines; Emydidae
Exons: 3
Source: RefSeq, a predicted model, not a curated record
UCGUCCAGGAGCCCUAGCCAGACAAGAAUAUGGCAGAAGUGGAUCUAAGCAUCCUGGACAUCAUUCUAAGGAAACAUGAAUAGUCGACGUUUCUGCCUUCUGCAUCACUGGCUUUGCAAGGAAAACAGAGUCACACAUCAGUGUCUCCUGCCCUCAUGCGAUGGAAAGCGAGCGAGAGAGUUGAGACUCUGAGCAUUGUUGAUGCCACGCAAAAGCCAUCCUUACCUGUACUCGGUGUAGUAUUGUUCACAAGCCGUGUGCUUUCUGGUUGGCUAUGAGGCUGUGUGAGAUUACGGCUGGGGAGAGGCCAGAGUCUGCUAUGCAGAGUGAUAAUAUCGGUUGCUGUUGCAAGGGGUGCUUUUUGGUUGUAGUGCUGAAGGCUUAAUGUGGGGGACGGUUGGGGGAGGAGUGCUGUCCUGUGGCAGAAGAAACUGGUUCCUGACCAGCUGUGCUUACUAGACAGACAAGGUCCCCAUUUUCGGGUGCUGCUCAUUUCUCUGGCCAGGAGCGGUGUGUCCUCCGCAGCAGAAGGUUGCAUCUAGGAGGAUGAUUCCAGAUGGUGAGUUGCUUGCCUUCCUUCCAUCUUUCUCUUUCUUUCUCUCUCUCUUCACUUGGCCAACACACAGCCUCUAUCUCUCUCUCUCUGUCUGUCCUUGCCUUUCCUUGUGCUGUCUCCCUUCGUAAGACAGUGGUAGGCAUGCUAGAUGUGUAUCCCCAAAAGCCAGGUCUCAGGCACCAUGGAGAAGUAGGAGUGGACGAAAAGCAUGCGGGGCAGUGGGCGAUAAAGUGGAGCUGUGACUGUCGGCAUUUAUUCGGUGGGGGCCGAUGUAGAUGGGACUGGAGAGAGAGGCCAGGAUGAGGGCAAGAUUUGAAACACCAAUAGAGCUUUAAGUAGUGAUGGCUCAUGCUUGGCUUUUGCAGCUGCGCUUCCAGAGGAAUUUUCCAGGAGCCCUAUCUCGAGGAGAAAGUGGCAGAAGUGGACAUCCUUGUAAGCAGACAUGAACAGUCCUCACCUUUCUCACUCCCGCAUAACUGGCUUACCAAGGAGAAAGAAGUUGCGCGUCAGAGUCUACUGCCCUCAUGCAAUGUAAAGUGAGGGACAGCAGCGAACUUGUGACCCGUGUUGAUGCCAGGGAAGAGCCGUCUAUCUGGGAUCCGAGCAGACGCCACUCUCCGUGAGAUAAGUGUCUGGUUUGGUGAUUGCUGUGCUCGCGGUCCACCUUACUCCUGCUACGGACGCCCUGUGCUUACUAGACAGACAAGGUCCCCAUUUUCAGGGCUGCUCAUUUCUCUGGCCAGGAGCGGUGUGUCCUCCGCAGCAGAAAGUUGCAUCUAGGAGGAUGACUCCAGGUGGUGAGUUGCUUGCCUUCCUCCCAUCUUUUCUAGUGUGUUGGCCAACUUUCUCACUCUACUUUCCUCUCCUCUCCUAGUGCCGUCUGCCUUCGUCGGACACAGGCAGACAUGCUAGGUGUACAUCCCCACAGGCCAGGUCUUGGGCGCCAUGGAGAAGUAGGAGCGGACAUAAGCAUGCGGGGCUGUGGGCGCUAAAGUGGAGCUGUCACUAUCUGUCUGUGUUAACUCGGAUUCUGUUCAUCGAGUGAGGCUAAUGUAGAUGGGACUAGAGAGGGAGGCAGGGCUGAGGGCAAGAUUUCCAGCACCAAUAGAGCUCUGUGUAGCGAUAGUUCUUGCUUGGUUUUAUUAGUUUGCAGAGGAAUCGUCCAGGAGCCGUAGCCGGACAAGAAUAUGGCAGAAGUGGACCUGAGCAGUCUGGACAUGCUGCUAAGGAGACAUGAAUAGUCCUCAUGUUUCUGCCUUCUGUAUCACUGGCUGUGAGUAAGAGGUCAGUGCUUUCAAUUCCUCAUCUGUAGUCGCUGUAGUUUUCUUCCCAGGCCAUAUGCUUCCUCGUUGGGGCCGAGGCUCUGGGAUUAAGGCUCAGGAAGGGACAAGAGUCUCCUGAGCAA